GACAUGGUUCCAGAGUGUGGCAUUAGGGAGACCAACUUCUGAGCUGCAGAUUCACAGCAUGGCCAUGCAGGCAGGGAAGAUGUGCUCUACUCCAGGAUCAAGGAGCAAGCCCAUAUUUCCUCUUGAUUCUGGGACUCCCUCUUGAGACUGAUUUGCUCUAAUGUUAGCUCUUGAGAGAACUGGGGUCCCUGCCUUCUUGGGGAGCCUGAAAAGAAGUUUUGCUGUCUGGGCAUCACAGCAUCCAGAGUGUACAGGAGACAGGUCAGCAGCUGCGGUCAGCAGAGGCACACACGCCAGCCCCUGGAGAUGGGUGGCUUGUCCUGAGCCAAAGCUGGGCUGGUUUAUAAACAGCACCUGUGAAAAGAAGAGGGAUGACUCCAGUGGGACAUUCCUGAACCAUGUGCACCUAUUCACCUAGGAGAAGGAAUGGCUGGAGUUGCAUCUAUCUUUCUGUUUAUGAAAUAUGGGCCCAACUCCAGCGACAACAUAAUUUUUAGACCAUUUAGUGGAAUAAUAAAAGUCAAAAGAGGAAAGAGAACUUACAUGGAUUGAACACCCACUGCAUGCUUAGCUCUCUGCUAGGUGCAUUACAGAAAAGAGCUUAUUGAAUUCUUACGCAAACCCUUGAGGAUGAAUGGCCGCUCACCUGGAGUCUUGAUAGCCAGGUGAUGCAGAUUUAGGAGAAGAAGUCCACCUCAGGUCAGGUUUCCCCAAAGGCAGAUCCUGAGAUGAGGAAUCCAGGACCUAUCACUUACUUGGGAGAGGCAGAGUUUCCUUAUGUUGCCCAGGCUGGCCUCAAAGUCCUGACCUCUAGCCAUCCUCCUGCCUUGGCCUCCCAAAGUGCAGGAAUUACAGCUACCACUUCCUCCACGAGAUGACUUGCUCUCUGGAUUGGAGGUGUGUCUGCAUUUCAGGAACAAGCAACUUUUCUCUGUGGCUACAGGCUGUACUCUGAACCUCCACCAUUGGAAAGUCAACUCCUGCUACGUCCUGUUCAGCAAGGAUUUGAGCAGGUUUGGUGAAGCCAAGAAUUACCUGUAUAAAGUCGAAAAGUGCUUCCACUGAUGCAACACGGCAGUCCUUUUCAGGUAAUCUUACCAGCAGGCUCCUUCUUCUCACGGAAGAGCCAUGUUAACAAUAAACUUUGGCUAGAGGGUGCUGUGGAAAUGGUAAAAUAUGGAGAUUAUUCUGUGAAAAAUUAUGGGUGAUUUGAGAGUAAAAGCAAGAAGCUAUUGGCAUUAGGCAGAAUACAUAGAAAAUAAAACAUAAACUCACUUUUGUAAUCAAUCCAGGAUGGCAUGGAUUGAAUGGAUUGACAAGGGUGCAUGGUUGAAUGGUCAACACUCUUCACCUGCCAGUGCAGAGCCCUAAAAUGAACACUUAACCACCAUCAGGGUGAGAGGCAGCUCUUUGAUACUGGUGGUCGGGGGGCGGGGGUGGUGUCAGUCUCAUUAACCAGGGCAGUGAGGGUUGGCUGAAGUAUCUGGCCACCGGAAAUCCUAUUGUCUCAGCUCAGUUGAGGAAACCAGUAGCCUUAAAUGGGGGAUAAAACUGAUGGACCAGGCUGCAAGUGGCCCAUCACACAGAGCAGGCCUGGGAUGUUCCUAUCAAGGCAAUAGGAAGCCCUCCCUGUCCACGCAGUGAUGGUAGAGCCAGUCCAGAAGCACAAGCCCAGAAGCAACCUGGGUGUCUACAUGGAGGAAUGAUUCUUGUCCCUCCCAAGGCUCUUAUAGAUUCUGUUCCCUGAUAUUCUUCCCAUGUGUGUGGGACACAGGGGAAGCUGGGAAGGGUGGCACAAGUAUCUUUUCUGUAUUUAUUCAGAUAAUUUAAUGUUUAUUUUCUAGUUCUUACCAUGGUGAGUUACAUUGAUUGAUCUUUCAAAUGUUAGGCCAACUUUACAUUCCUGGGAUGAAAUCCACUUGGUCGUGACCUAUUGUCUUCUUAUGUAUCAUUGGAUUUGAUUCACUAAAAUACUGCUAAGAAGUUUUGUGUCUAUGCUUGUCGUAGGAAAAUAGCCAAUUACAUGGCAAGAGUGGCGCCAUCUUGAAUUGAAACUCCCAUGAUGACUGUUGUUUGACUCUUGCAUGCCAAGGUGGUCUGCAGCAAGGUCUUUAAACAAUGCUCAUAGCUUAGAUAACCCCUCAUAAAGAUGCUUAUCUAACCUCCCCAGUAGUCUUGAGUUUAACAAGAAACACAGAUGUGACUAGCUACCACAUAUUUUACCAAAAAACUUGUAAUAUAACAGAUAUUUUCUAAAAGGUGAGUGCAGAGAUCCACUGCCUAAUGGCCACCCAAGACAUCUCUCCUGUUCAUAAGCUCCUAUUAAAUAUUUCUUUUUAAGAAACUGGAUUUUUCAGCUGUUUUAUUCAGCCUCUCAUCUCCCUCAGCCUUUGCGGGCAGGUUUACUUAUACCUGCUCACUGCGGAGCAUUUGUCUUGGUCUGUUUUGUGUUGCUAUAACAGAAUAUCAUAGACUGGAUAAUUUAUAAAGAAAAGAGGCUUAUUUCGCUCACAGUUCUGGAGGCUGGGAAGUUCUAUAGCAUGCUACCCACAUCUGGUGAGGGCCUUCUUGCUGCAUCAUAACUUGGCAGAAGGGCAAGAGAGCAUGUGAGACAGACAGAGGCACCAGGUGCUGGACCCACUUUUAUAUCUGCCCACUCUUGUGAUAACUUACCCAUAAUAACUACAUUAAUCCAUUCAUGAGGGCUUCACCCUCAUGAUCCAAUCCCCUCUUAAUAAGCCCCACCUCCCAAC
This is a long non-coding RNA of Homo sapiens (human), 2753 nucleotides long. RefSeq lists it as uncharacterized. The transcript is spliced from 5 exons. Lineage: Eukaryota; Metazoa; Chordata; Mammalia; Primates; Hominidae. The record is from RefSeq and is a predicted model, not a curated record.